GUGCUGGCUUUGGCAGCGCGUAAGCUAAAAUUGGAACUAUUCAGAGAAGACUGGAGCGGUCCCUGCUCAAGGAUAAUGCACAAAUUCACGAAGUGUUAAACAAACAA
Molecule: small nuclear RNA, 107 nt
Organism: Mastomys coucha (southern multimammate mouse)
Lineage: Eukaryota; Metazoa; Chordata; Mammalia; Rodentia; Muridae
Source: RefSeq, a predicted model, not a curated record